CAGCAGCCGCGGUAAUACGGAGGGUGCAAGCGUUAAUCGGAAUUACUGGGCGUAAAGCGCACGCAGGCGGUUUGUUAAGUCAGAUGUGAAAUCCCCGAGCUUAACUUGGGAACUGCAUUUGAAACUGGCAAGCUAGAGUCUUGUAGAGGGGGGUAGAAUUCCAGGUGUAGCGGUGAAAUGCGUAGAGAUCUGGAGGAAUACCGGUGGCGAAGGCGGCCCCCUGGACAAAGACUGACGCUCAGGUGCGAAAGCGUGGGGAGCAAACAGG
RNAcentral lists this ribosomal RNA (268 nucleotides) under uncultured bacterium. RNAcentral describes it as "partial 16S ribosomal RNA". It matches the Rfam family "Bacterial small subunit ribosomal RNA", at positions 509 to 776 of the family's 1533-position model. The record is from RNAcentral.